RNAcentral lists this ribosomal RNA (425 nucleotides) under Verrucomicrobiota bacterium. Its description in RNAcentral is "Verrucomicrobia bacterium partial 16S ribosomal RNA". It matches the Rfam family "Bacterial small subunit ribosomal RNA", at positions 355 to 776 of the family's 1533-position model. The record is from RNAcentral. Lineage: Bacteria; Pseudomonadati; Verrucomicrobiota.
UGAGGAAUAUUGGUCAAUGGGCGAGAGCCUGAACCAGCCACGUCGCGUGAAGGAAGACUGACCUUACGGUUUGUAAACUUCUUUUGUAGAGGGGUAAUGGCAGAUACGUGUAUUUGCGUGAAAGUACUCUACGAAUAAGCAUCGGCUAACUCCGUGCCAGCAGCCGCGGUAAUACGGGGGAUGCGAGCGUUAUCCGGAUUUAUUGGGUUUAAAGGGAGCGUAGGCCGUUUGGUAAGCGUGUUGUGAAAUGUAGGAGCUCAACUUCUAGAUUGCAGCGCGAACUGUCAGACUUGAGUGCGCACAACGUAGGCGGAAUUCAUGGUGUAGCGGUGAAAUGCUUAGAUAUCAUGAAGAACUCCGAUUGCGAAGGCAGCUUACGGGAGCGCAACUGACGCUGAAGCUCGAAGGUGCGGGUAUCGAACAGG